GCCGGAAUAGCUCAGUUGGCAGAGCAGAGGACUGAAAAUCCUCGUGUCACCAGU
Molecule: transfer RNA, 54 nt
Filed under: Jungermannia atrovirens
Lineage: Eukaryota; Viridiplantae; Streptophyta; Jungermanniopsida; Jungermanniales; Jungermanniaceae
Description: partial tRNA-Phe
Rfam family: tRNA
About the family: Transfer RNA (tRNA) molecules are approximately 80 nucleotides in length.
Source: RNAcentral